Long non-coding RNA from Daktulosphaira vitifoliae (grape phylloxera), 1594 nucleotides. RefSeq lists it as uncharacterized. Lineage: Eukaryota; Metazoa; Arthropoda; Insecta; Hemiptera; Phylloxeridae. The record is from RefSeq and is a predicted model, not a curated record. The transcript has 3 exons.
CCUAUCACCGGCCGAUCAGCUGUUACACACUACACACCACACACAACACAUAGCCACAAAAAUUCUUGUAAUAUAACAUUGUAGAAAACGGGAAAAAAUAAUUACAAUUUUUCUUUGUUUUGUUUUUCACUCAGAAAAAACUCAAGUAGUUUUUUUUUUUGUUGUUAAUUAAAAUUAAGUGUUGAAUACUGAAUAAGUUCUUUUUUGGAUUAUAAAUUCAUCAAUUUUUGUUUCACAGUGCCCACCAGGGCUUGCAUUGUUCAUUCAUUCUAGUCUCCUGUGAUAUUUUAUACUUAUUUGUGAAACUUCCAUUGCAAUUCAUCUCUAAGUGUUCAGAAAAAAAUGUGUGUUGUAGUAAUUGUGUGUAAAUGUAAUUUGUGUCUUAGUUUUAACAGUGGCUGGCCAGUUACAAUUAUUAAUAAAUGGAGUACAGUUUGCUAUGUAUAGUAUUGAUUGGACCGAGAAAAGUAUAAAAUUAAAAAAAAAUCUCUUGUUGGCUAUGAGUUUAAAUAACGCGAACAGAUUAAAAAUGAAUAUUACUCCACGAAAAUCGUUGAAUCUAGAAGUAUUUGGUUCGGCGUUUCGUGUGUCAUAUUCAAUUGUUUCCCUCUUGGUAAAAAAAACAUUUUCGAAAUAAGCAGAUUGGAGCAAAUAAAAAUUUAUUUUGAAGCUUUUGUAGUAUAUAUAUAUUAAUUUUUCUUUGGUUAACUUUUAACAAUAGUAAAAUUUUUUUUUUUAAAUUAAAUAUCUUUACAAAUAAUAGAACAUAUAGAACUCGAUUUUGUACUAAAUUGCGUAGCAAAAUAAAAAAUAACAAAAAAUUAUUUUCUGAGGCAGUCAAACUUACUUAAUUGUUGCAUCAAGCACUUUAAAUUAUAGUUUCACUUAUUAUACUUAAAUUGAUAUUUAAAAACUCUUAACUGUGUUUAAACGGAUUAUCAUCGAUUGCAUUAUUUAUUGUUUUAUAGUAUAUCAAUAAUAAAUUGUAUAAAUGUUAUAUUUAUACUUAAUAAAUGGCUAAGAAACCUCCUCCUUUGGGAGAGGCCGCUACGGCCCUUAAUGUGUUAAUAAAAGCGUAUUAAAAUACAUUAAUGGAAAAUGUGUCGAAAUAGUGGAACAAAUAUGCCUUUGAAUUUCAAUGGGAUUCAAAAUAAACGGAAAACAAGUGGAUCAGAUCAAAUAUGCAGGUAUCACAAUUCGUACAAUCGUCGGGACUUACAGAUUUGAUAGAAAUGAUUUAAUGUAAUUCAUCCUGAUAUGAUGUUGCCAACUGUAAUAGAUGAUAUCAUUCGAUUUGCACGUAAGCAUAUAACGAACUUGGAAAACCCUGAAAAUAUAGCGGCAAUCCAACUAUUGGACAAGUCCAAUGACCUAAGACGUUUAAAACGCAUCAAGCCAUAUGGCUUAGUUUAAUUUUAUAAAUACUUAUUUUACAAUUUAAAUAUUUACUUAAAUAUAACUUAUAUUAUAUAAUUUAUAAAUUUAUAUAUUAUAUAAACAUAACAAUUUUAAUAUAACUUCACUGGAAGUGUAGAUCCUAUUAUUAUUAUUAUAUUAUUAUAUUAUAAUCAACGUAUAUUAUAAGUAAUGUAUA